This is a non-coding RNA of Arthromyces matolae, 101 nucleotides long. The record is from the annotation of a GenBank genome assembly. NCBI's taxonomy places the organism in Eukaryota, Fungi, Basidiomycota, Agaricomycetes, Agaricales, Lyophyllaceae.
GGCUUAGUGGUCUAGUAGUAUGAUUCCUCCUUCGGGUUCUAUCCCGGCCUUCUACGAGGCUUCAUUGGAGGAGGUCCCGGGUUCAAUUCCCGGCUGAGCCC